This 468-nucleotide ribosomal RNA is filed under the name uncultured bacterium. RNAcentral describes it as "partial 16S ribosomal RNA". It matches the Rfam family "Bacterial small subunit ribosomal RNA", at positions 28 to 507 of the family's 1533-position model. The record is from RNAcentral.
GACGAACGCUGGCGGCGUGCUUAACACAUGCAAGUCGAACGGAAAGGCCCUGCUUUUGUUGGGUGCUCGAGUGGCGAACGGGUGAGUAACACGUGAGUAACCUGCCCUUGACUUUGGGAUAACUUCAGGAAACUGGGGCUAAUACCGGAUAGGAGCUCCUGCUGCAUGGUGGGGGUUGGAAAGUUUCGGCGGUUGGGGAUGGACUCGCGGCUUAUCAGCUUGUUGGUGGGGUAGUGGCUUACCUAGGCUUUGACGGGUAGCCGGCCUGAGAGGGUGACCGGCCACAUUGGGACUGAGAUACGGCCCAGACUCCUACGGGAGGCAGCAGUGGGGAAUAGUGCACAAUGGGCGGAAGCCGGAUGCAGCAACGCCGCGUGCGGGAUGACGGCCUUCGGGUUGUAAACCGCUUUCGCCUGUGACGAAGCGUGAGUGACGGUAAUGGGUAAAGAAGCACCGGCUAACUACGUG